Molecule: unclassified non-coding RNA, 104 nt
Filed under: uncultured fungus
Lineage: Eukaryota; Fungi
Description: sequence contains ITS1
Source: RNAcentral
AAAAUAUAGCAAGCCGAGCUUGAUUAGCGAGGUUUUGCGAUCAAUUUUGUAUUUAAAACCCAACUCUUUGAAUCAAAUAAUUUAUGUAUAUUAAGUAAUAAAGA